GCGAGACUCCGUGGGGUAGGACCCUCUGAGCCAGGUGAGGGAUAUAAUCUCGUGGUGCGCCGUUUUUUAAGCCCGUCGGAAAGGCGCAGUAUUCGGGUGGGAGUGACCCGAUUUUCCCGAUUUUCCAGGUGCCGUCUGUCACCCCUUUCUUUGAUUAGGAAAGGGAACUCCCUGACCCCUUGCGCUUCCCGAGUGAGGCAAUGCCUCGCCUUGCUUCGGUUUGCGCAUGGUGCGCGCACCCACUGACCUGCGCCCACUGUCUGGCACUCCCUAGUGAGAUGAACCCGGUACCUCAGAUGGAAAUGCAGAAAUCACCCGUCUUCUGCGUCGCUCAGGCUGGGAGCUGUAGACCAGAGCUGUUCCUAUUCGGCCAACUUGGUUCCUCCCCCAACUCGGUGUACUAUUAUGGUAUGAAAUCCUCCUGAUGAACCUGUGAGGGGCUUGGGAGGGCAAGAGUAGGUGUCAUAAGUAGCUUUGACCUUGAGAAGUCUGGAGGUCACUUUAUAUGCUGCCAAAGCACCACUGUCUACUAAGUUUUUGAGGAAACCAUAUUGCUAGAGAAACUGCAAGCCUGAGCAGCCUCCAAUUGUUGAAGACUUACAUCCAUCUUGGACCUCCAAACAUUCAUAAGCAGGAAGCAGGCCUCAAAAACUAUGGCCCCCAAAUGAGGGCUUGUUCCCCAACCCCCACUUUAGACAUGGAGAAGAAGAAUAAUGGACAAGGAGGCUCCUCCCAGAAGGAUCCAAGGACCCCUGAGGUUGGUGGACAAUGGACUUCCAGCACAGAUUGGAAUCAGAACACAAUCAAGGACACUGUCUCUCCAAUAGAAACUCUUCCUAUGUCUGCCCAGAGUAAUUCCUUAACUGUGAUGGACAAAGAGCUGUGGCAUCAUUGCUUUCCAUUUUUUGAAUGAAAGUUAUGGUGCAGUAAUCCUUUCCCUGCUCCAGCAGGUGAGGGGGUGGCAGAGAGGGGCCAAUAAUUUGUCAUUUUGUUCCUAGAUUGCCAGACCAAGAGGAGCUAUGUCUUGGUCUGCAAAAAAGAACCAGACAUUGCCACAAAUCCUGGGCUUGAGCUGAAUGCAGGGACUGGUGGGUUUCUCUGUUGUGUCCCUUGGAGAGGGAGUGAAGACUUCUUAUGCAGUGCCUCUCAACAUAUUCUAACCUUCCUGCCUGCUAGGCUUGCCAUGUGUUGUGUUCCAGACAGUAAAAUUUAAGCAGAAGUUCUGACUUUCUUACUGCUGGGCUAAGGUAGUUACGUACUAGUGUACUAGUGUGUCUCCCCACAAUGAACCUCCCACCUUCUUCCCACAAAGCCCAAGGGAUAAAAUUCAGGGCAAAUUAGAAUCCAAAAGAAGGAGCCACAAAGUGGAAGAAACCUGGAUGCCUGAGUCACUAUGUGGGGAAAACACCAACUAAAAAGCUUUAUGUGAUCCACAUUUGAUAUGAGUGAGAAAUAAAUUUUUGAUUGUUUUAGGCCAUUGAUAUUUUGAGAUUGCAACAACAGCUAGUAUAAGUUAGCCCAAUGCUUUAGGAAAACGUCUAUUUGUUUAUCUAAUCUAUGAAGAUCACUGACUCAUUACUCUGUUUUGUUUUCUUAAUGAACACAAUAUACCAUGUGGGUAAGAGAUAAGGGGAAGGGGUGGAGGGGGGAUUUGGAGCCAGAAGACAAGAAGUUCUCUCUUUGCCUAUUCAUGCGUAUUUAGUAAAUUAACAUUUCCAUGCUGGGUCAUGAUUAUUUUCCCUGACCCUGCCCAGAAGAAAGCAAUCUCCAACUGUAUACUCACUGGCAUUUUGCUUUCAGGGAUACCGUUUUGUAAUUGGGCUCGGUUCAGUCCUCAUGGUCUGAAGAGAAAAUGAUAUACCAUGCUUUAAUAAGAGAUGUUCUGUCUUUAGUGCAAGACCCAGCCCACUGUUUGUAAUAAACUCUGAAGUCUGUGCUUGACAAGUACUACUUACAUACAGAGCAUGUCGUGAAGUAUAACAGAGAAGAUGAAGCCUGGUAAAAUGACACAGUUUGCUUCUCUCUUCAACAAAGGAAACUCUGAUUCUGGUUUUAGAAGGGACCGGCACCUUCUCCUUUCCCUGCCAGAUUUUCCUUCUACCAAGACUGGGGUCCAACUGUGAGCCCUGUGCUUCAGGUCAGGAGAAAUUCAGUAUGUGAAAGCAUUUUGCAAUCCGUAAAGCUUAAAUAUGCAUGCACGUUGUGAGGCAAUAUGGUAUAAAGGAAAGCAGAGGUUUAGACGUCAGUCCCACUCAUUUUAAAUCCUGGGUCCACUGCCCUCUAGCUAGGUAAUUCUUGGAAUGUUUCUCAACUUCUCUGAUCUUCAGUUCCCUCCACUAUAAAAUAAGAUCUAUAAGACCUACUACUUAGGGUGGGAAUAAAAUCAAUAACAUGUGAAUACCUAGCUCAGUGUCUGGUACAUGUUGGUGCUCAAUAAAUGUGUAAUUCCUUCCUUUCCCUUUCCUACCCACAUGCUGUCCUCAGGGUAGAACACAUAGAUGAUUCUUUCUCGUGCCCUGCCUGCCUCAGUACAUUUCUGGAUGUACGGAUUGAGACUUCCUGACUUACGAUUGCAUAAACUCCACAGCAAGUAUCUUUGGCUGUGUUAGUGCAAAUCCCUUGAAUAAUGUCCCAGUUCUCCUCUACGGCAGACUCCGUUGGAUUAAGAAAGAAGGCAACAGAAUGGAAAGAGCAUUCAACUUGGUGUCAAGUCCUGGGUACAGAUCUCUUUUCCAGCCUGUGCACUGUUGGUUAAAUUAGAAAUCUCUCUAAACCCCAAUUUACUCAUAUGGAAAAUGUCAGUUAUAGCUUCCAUAAAAGAACUUCAUGACAUAAAAAAACCUAGCACAAAUAUAAGGUAUUUCAGUAUACUUCCAGUAUAUCUUUGCUUACUCUUAUUGUCCUAUGUGUUAAUCCUACUAAAAAGCCUUGUGUCCCAUGUGUCUUCUCCCACACCUACUGAGUUUGUAAGGCAAGGUAGGUGCUUUGGGCAGGCAUCCAUCCAUGGCAUCACUUCAUCUAUCUUUGCUCAUGUUCAAGAAUGGUUUGGUUUCUUUCAUGCGCGUCCGUGUGAAGAGACCACCAAACAGGCUUUGUGUGAGCAACAUGGCUGUUUAUUUCACCUGGGUGCAGGCGGGCUGAGUCCGAAAAGAGAGUCAGCGAAGGGAGAUGGGGCGGGGCCAUUUUAUAGGAUUUGGGAAGGUAAUGGAAAAUUACAGUCAAAGGGCGUUGUUCUCUGGU
RNAcentral lists this long non-coding RNA (3240 nucleotides) under Homo sapiens (human). Its description in RNAcentral is "HSALNT0121031". Lineage: Eukaryota; Metazoa; Chordata; Mammalia; Primates; Hominidae. The record is from RNAcentral.